Antechinus flavipes (yellow-footed antechinus) is the source of this 546-nucleotide long non-coding RNA. RefSeq lists it as uncharacterized. Lineage: Eukaryota; Metazoa; Chordata; Mammalia; Dasyuromorphia; Dasyuridae. The record is from RefSeq and is a predicted model, not a curated record. The transcript has 3 exons.
GAGAUUUCUGGGAAGUGCUCAACGAGAGUGUUUCAGAAGUAUCUCAGGCAUUCUCUACUUAAAUUCUUCCAAGUAUUUGCCGUUCCCUUGUUGCAUCAAACUGAACCAAGAGAAAAGUAGUUCCCUUAGAACAAUAGAGAUUGAAGUCAUUCUGAUCACCUGUUCUAGGUGGGAGACCAGCCCAUAUUAGGAGCACAGGGAAGGAGACCAUCAAGAAAUUUUGACUUCCAAUGCUGCCUACCAUUUAAUCAUCUUAUUCACAUUUCUUGAUGGCGGAAAGGACCGGAUGUAAAAAGUCUUCCAUUAAUGGAGAUAACAGGAAGGUUCCUGGGUUUCAGUUUGGAAAAGAGAAGAUGCUCAUCAAAGUUAUUUUAUUCUAUAGGCUGAAAAACAAGGCCCUCUUGGAUUGUUGCCUUAAGGAGUGUUGGAUUGUUGUUCAUUCAUUUAGAAAUUUAAAAGGUGCUUACUUUUAGGUUAGCAAAGAGUUUAGCUUACUCGUUUUAAGUAUUUUAAAAGUUGAAUUCUUGUAUUGCCUAUGUAUUUAUU